RNAcentral lists this long non-coding RNA (214 nucleotides) under Anser brachyrhynchus (Pink-footed goose). RNAcentral's name for it is "lncRNA (ENSABRG00000016380.1)". Lineage: Eukaryota; Metazoa; Chordata; Aves; Anseriformes; Anatidae. The record is from RNAcentral.
GAACUACAGUAGCCACGUGUGACUUGUAGUGUUUCAGUUGAUUUGGAGGAAAGAUUUGAUGUCUUUCAUUUCUCUUGAAGAGCAAAACUAUCAGAUGAAUAGGUGAAAGUUUUUGUUAUGCUCAAAUGAAAGUGAUGGAGGACUUGAAGGCCACUCACCCAUCAAUAGUUUUCAUUAGAACUUCCAUUGCCAACAAUACAGCAGAAAUCACAAG